CCGCGCCCGUUUUGGUAUUCGAUUAGAAUGCGAGUCGAGAGAGUAAGGUCUCGGCGGACCGCUGAGUAACACGCGGAUAACAUGCCCUGGGGUGGGGGAUAACCUCGGGAAACUGAGAAUAAUACCCCAUAGGUUUAGGGUGCUGGAAUGCUUCUAUGCUGAAAACUCCGGUGCCCCAGGAUUGGUCUGCGGCUUAUCAGGUUGUAGUGGGUGUAACGGACCCACUAGCCUAUGACGAGUAUGGGCCUUGAGAGAGGAAGCCCACAGAUGGACUCUGAGACAUGAGUCCAGGCCCUACGGGGCGCAGCAGUCGCGAAAACUUCACAAUGGGAGAAAUCCCGAUGAGGGAAUACCAAGUGCCAGCACUUUUGUGUUGGCUGUUCCCCUGUCUAAAAAACAGGAGAAGUAAGGGCCGGGUAAGACGGGUGCCAGCCGCCGCGGUAAUACCCGCGGCCCGAGUGGUGGUCGAUAUUAUUGAGCCUAAAACGUCCGUAGCCGGUCUCAUAAAUCCUUGGGUAAAUCGGCCAGCUUAACUGUCCGAAGUCCGAGGAGACUGUGAGACUUGGGAUCGGGAGAGGUCAGAGGUACUUCUGGGGUAGGGGUAAAAUCCUGUAAUCCUGGAAGGACCACCGGUGGCGAAGGCGCCUGACUAGAACGAAUUCGACGGUGAGGGACGAAGCCCUGGGGCGCAAACGGGAUUAGAUACCCCGGUAGUCCAGGGUGUAAACGCUGCGGGCUUGGUGUUGGGGGUCCUUUGUGGGCGCCCAGUGCCGGAGAGAAGUUGUUAAGCCUGCUGCUUGGGGAGUACGUCCGCAAGGAUGAAACUUAAAG
RNAcentral lists this ribosomal RNA (831 nucleotides) under uncultured archaeon. RNAcentral describes it as "bacterial SSU rRNA". It matches the Rfam family "Archaeal small subunit ribosomal RNA", at positions 18 to 861 of the family's 1478-position model. The record is from RNAcentral.